This is a non-coding RNA of Anas platyrhynchos (mallard), 239 nucleotides long. Lineage: Eukaryota; Metazoa; Chordata; Aves; Anseriformes; Anatidae. The record is from RefSeq and is a predicted model, not a curated record.
GCACAGAGCACACGGGGAGAAGAGGAUGGCAAAGAGAGGGUGGAGGAUCUUUUUGGCCUGAAGGUGUCUGAGGACUCCCCGACAUCAGAGUUCUCUAGGUGAGAUGGGGCUCGCAGACAAGGUUCAGGAGAGAGGAGACCAAGUCUUGCUGGAGCAGCCUGGCUGGCCAGGAGGGACACAAGGACAUCCCGGGUGGCACUUGCCUAAGCCUGUUGUACCUUGUGCCACUGCAUUCGGAC